UGGGGUUGUCCCCUGUGGUCUCAGCACCCACAGGACAACCUGCAGGCAGGGCUUGCACCCACACCGCAGCAUUGUGCCUAUCGCCAUAUGGCUGCACUGUGCUCAGGGUGCUGUCCUGGCUGGUGGAAACCCAUUGUGGUUAUGGGGUGUGGGGCUAUUGCAGAACCCCCAGCCCUCCCCAAACCCUGGGGACACCCCAUCCUGUGCUACAGCUUUGAGGAGGUGCCUUGCCCGCCUUCAGCCCAUCAUCACAACCAAACAGCAGCUUUUGUCUGCGCUCAGACAGCAUGGCAGGGUUCUGCUUGGCUCACACUCAAGCUUUCUCCAGCUACAUCUGCACUAGUGCCCAGGUGAAGCCCAACAAAGAGCAAAAGAUGAAGCCCCACCAUCACUAUCCCCAUGCAAUGGCCUCUAUAUCUUUUGCGUCUGGUUUCUUCCAGGACUUGAAACAUGGAAGAGCUGCAUCGUAGUGUCUGUUUUUGUGGUGUUUCCAGCCCAGCUGGAAGCAGGAGGCACUAGAAAAUGGAGAGAUGGGGAGGGGGGGAAAGGAAAGAAAGAAUCAAUCUGGCAGGAGUCCAUCUUCCUACUGAAUCCACCGAACCCGGGAUGCUCACGCCUUGCUUAUCCCAACCCAUCCCCUUGUGCCCAAAUGGCUUUGGGGAUGUUACACAAAGCACGGCCCCUCUGCUGGCGUCGAGGCCGGGUGGGUAACACCAUCCUUGCAUUUAUUUCACCUAUUUCCUCUGGUUGCGAAUUGUCCGGGAGCAGAUGGUGAUUUUCUCAAGUGUAUCCGUUAUUCGAAGUCGCUCACCGAGACAGGGAUGGCUCACACAAACCCGGCCCCCCUGCAAAGCCAUCAUUUGGUCUUUCCAUCUGCCCAGCCGCUGCGUUCGCUGUGGGUUUCAGCCAGCUCUGUGGGGCAGAGCAGGACGGUGCAGCCCUACAUGAUCAUCCCCUUAACUAUGGGACACAGAGCCGUGACUGCCAGGGCAGCUUGGGGGUGGAAAGCGAUCCCUGGAGCUGGGGGGACCCUCUCCUUAUGAGCCCCUGAAUGGGCUCCCAGGCCCAUCUGCUGCCACAUUCUGGCUGCGUUUUUCCAUUUUCCAUUCCCAGUCCUCUCCUUCUCCCCUCUGGAAAAGCAGCCAUGGGGCUGGGAGCUGCCUUGUAACCGGAGCCCAUCGGGACCCCCUGCGCAGCCCCACGCCAGGAAUGUUGCACCAAGGGGGGCUGCCAAGGGCUGACAAAGGGGGAACUGCUUUGAAAUGCAGCUUGCUCUCCCCCCCUGUGGGUUAAACAAACACCCCCCGGCUCAGGGGGUGCCUCCCCGCAUCCCACAGCCUUUUGUUGACAAGCUUUUGUCUGGGGUGUAGAGAAAGGGCUGGGACCCCCCAACCUCCCCCAGGACACACAUGUGGAUGGGGUCUGGGAUGCUGAGUGUGGGGCUGAGAGUGGCUCAGUGCCCCAUCAUAGGGCCUGGGUACAGCCCCUAAGCCCUGCAGCCUGCUGUCCCUUCUGUCCCUGUGUCCCAACCCCAUGGCAUCUCACCAUUGGUGCAGCCUUUGGGUCUCUACUGCGUGCCAGUAUCCAGCAUCCAGCCCCCAUAUGGGGGGACCCAAACCCAAAGCUUGGGGGUGUGGCAGAGCCCACUGUCCCCAGAACCCCAUUAAGGGACUUGUUAUUUUGCAUCCCCAAAGGCACUUCAUGCAGUUUCCUUCCAGGGAAAAUAGCUGGGGGAAAAGCCUUGGAAACCAGAUCCAAACUGCCCUGACCCCCCCACGGCACGAAGGCAACAGAAGCCCCCAACUGCUGCCCACAUCCCCCCAUGGUGCCUUAAAGGUGGGAGAUGCCCUCAGACACCACAACCAGCGGGGCCGCAAUGGGAAGGUUGGGUUGGGGUUGGGCAUCCAGCUGCUUUUUGGGGUGGGUGCAUGGGGGGAACCCCAUGGGGGCACUCAGCCCUUCUCUGUCCAUGGGGCGGCCGCGGGUGUGUGCAGUGCUGGGCUGUGUCCCCGGGGAGCAGCAGCCCCGCAGCCCCGCGCCGCGCUCGUCACCCAGACAAGAGAUCAAUAACUAAUUUCACUGCAGCAGCAGCGCGGGGUUUUUUUCCAAUAAUUGUGAGCUGGUGGUUGGGAAUGAGGCUCUCAGCACCGCUCCACACUAACCUGCGCCCGAUCAAUCGCCGCACCGCUGGGGCAGCAGGAAAACUCAUUUUUCUCCUUUUCUUUCCUCUCUGCCUCCUCCUCCUCUCACUGCUCCAUCCCUGGGCACAGCGGUUCCGGCUCCGUCCCUUCACACAGGGGGUUGUGCUGUGUGUCCCAUCCUGAUGCUGUGAUCCCAUUUCCUAUGGGACAGACCCCGUGCCAAGCAUAGGGUGCAGCAUCUGUCCUCAUCCAGGAGCGCUGUGGGGCUGUGCCUAUGGAGCUGUGCCUUUCGGUCACCAGCUGGUGCCUUUGUGUUGCCCAGAUAUGUUCAGUGAUGCGGUAGAUCUUUGGGAUGCUGUGGGGUCGGUCUGAUGCUGGGUGUGAGCCUCGCUGGGUUCCUCCCUUCUUCUCCAUCUCUUCAGCAUCUGAGAUCCUGCAGUGCCUCAGUUUCCCCACUCAUAUCUCUAACAGCUUGGCACAGCUCUCUGAUCUACCCAUGGGCUCUGUGCUCCAGUCCCCAUCUCAUGGGACAUGGUGCAGGGCUCAGUGCUGGGCUCUCAUGCCAAUCUUUGGAGUCCCAACCUCUCAAAGGCACUGAGGAGCAGUGCAACAUGCAGCAUCCCUUCCUGUGUGCUUUGUCCCAGCUUGGAGACAUUCCCAAUGGAUGCACAGAGCCCACCCUGAGCCCCAUCCCCUCCAUCACCCCAUCACCAUGGUGAGGUAUUUCCACGUCCUUCUGGUGAACCAGCUCAUGUCUCCCAUGGUUAAUACUUGCCUUACCCCUCAUGCACACAUUGAUUUGUAUUAGCAUCAUGCCCUGGCCACGGUGCUCAGGAACACAGGGUGCUUGCAGGGCUCCCCCCAUGAGCAGCAGUGUGCCCCAGCCAUGGCUAAGGUCAUCCUUCAUGGCUUUCCCAGCAGCACUGGGGCCACCAUCCUUCCUCUCCCAUUUAAUCCCAUGAAUUAAACACCGCCUUCACCGCGGAGUGUCGAGCGGUGCCGGCGUAAUGUCCAAGUUUUAUGACUUGCCUUGAAGGCACCUAUUGAUUGGGGCCCUCUCUGGAUGAUGGAGCUUUUAGUGCAUCCUGGGCUGUCCGAGCAGGGCUGGAUCCUCAGCCCAUGGGGCUCAGUGAUGCUGUGCUGUCACAUCCCAGUGCCCCAUCUCCAUAGAUCCCAGGGGGGAGGCAGCAGGCGGGGCCCUCAGUGCCCACACGGCGCCUUUAAGAAGCCCACAACCAGCUCCAGGAACACGAGCUCAAGGUCACAGUGGGAAACCUGCGGACUUGGCAGCGAGGAGAGGAGAGCGGGCGGAGGGAAGGAGGAGGGAGGAGGGAAACAGCCGGGGAUAAAACCCACAUUCUGGCAGGGAAGAGGGGACGGAGGGGAGCAGGGAGGUGGGGUGCAGGCGGUCCCACCCAGGGGUGCCCAACUAUGGCACCUUGAGGCCAUAGACCCCUGUGCCCAGAUGCCCUCUGUGAGGUUUGGGGUUACCCAAGGCACUGGGAAUGAGGCGGCUGCUCCUGGUCUGGGUUUGGAGAUGCCCGAUUUUAAUUUUCAUCAGCAGAAUUAAUCUGUGGAGCUGUUCCCCCCCUCCUUCCCUCCCCUCCCUCCCCUUCCUUUCCUCGCUGGUUUCGAUGGAGAAUUUGAUCACUUCUCCCAGGAGCUCGGCACCAUUAACAUUCACUCCUGGCACACGCGAGCUGCGCUGCAUCGCCAAGCGCAUCGCCGGCUGUGGGAUAUGGGCUGUGGGCACCACGACCCCUGAAAAUGAAGGGUAGGACCAGGCAGUGCUGCCCUUCCCCUGCUUACAACCAGCCUUGGGCUCAGACUUGGAGGUGUCCAGAGGGUCUUGGCCUCAGGGUUUGCUCUGCAGCUGCUGGGACACGUGGGGCUGUUCAAUACAGUGAAAGCCAGAAGGUGCUCCGGGGGUAGGAUCCAAACCUUGCACCAUUUCACAUUUUAAGGGUUGCAAACUGGUCACCCUGAGCUACCCCAGAGUUGCUUAAAGUUGUGGACUUUGUGUCUUUUUUUCUUUAAUAAAGGUUAAUGAAGAAUUAA
Coturnix japonica (Japanese quail) is the source of this 4199-nucleotide non-coding RNA. Lineage: Eukaryota; Metazoa; Chordata; Aves; Galliformes; Phasianidae. The record is from RefSeq and is a predicted model, not a curated record.